GGGUUGAAACACCCGUUGCCAUCCGAUCACCGAAGUUAAGCAAUGACGAGCCUGGUCAGUACUUAGAUCGAUGACCGUUAGAAAAUAACAGUUGCUGUAAG
Acanthosepion pharaonis is the source of this 101-nucleotide non-coding RNA. NCBI's taxonomy places the organism in Eukaryota, Metazoa, Mollusca, Cephalopoda, Sepiida, Sepiidae. The record is from the annotation of a GenBank genome assembly.